CCUACGGGGGGCUGCAGUGGGGAAUAUUGGACAAUGGGGGGAACCCUGAUCCAGCCAUGCCGCGUGUGUGAAGAAGGCCCUCGGGUUGUAAAGCACUUUCAGUGAGGAAGAACGCCUGGUGGUUAAUACCCAUCAGGAAAGACAUCACUCACAGAAGAAGCACCGGCUAACUCCGUGCCAGCAGCCGCGGUAAUACGGAGGGUGCGAGCGUUAAUCGGAAUUACUGGGCGUAAAGCGCGCGUAGGUGGCUUGAUAAGCCGGUUGUGAAAGCCCGGGGCUCAACCUGGGAACGGCAUCCGGAACUGUCAAGCUAGAGUGCAGGAGAGGAAGGUAGAAUUCCCGGUGUAGCGGUGAAAUGCGUAGAGAUCGGGAGGAAUACCAGUGGCGAAGGCGGCCUUCUGGACUGACACUGACACUGAGGUGCGAAAGCGUGGGUAGCAAACAGGAUUAGAUACCCGGGUAGUC
RNAcentral lists this ribosomal RNA (465 nucleotides) under Vreelandella stevensii. RNAcentral describes it as "partial 16S ribosomal RNA". It matches the Rfam family "Bacterial small subunit ribosomal RNA", at positions 338 to 795 of the family's 1533-position model. The record is from RNAcentral. Lineage: Bacteria; Pseudomonadati; Pseudomonadota; Gammaproteobacteria; Oceanospirillales; Halomonadaceae.